ACAUCAGUGCGUUGUUGCCUCUCCCGUGCCCCCUACUGGGGACCUACCAGCAACCCUUUGGUUCGCAGGCCAGCACUCAAUUCACCGAGCCACACCAGCCAGGACGGUCAUUUUUUUUUAAUAGUGACUUCUUUUAGAUGUCUUUUUGGAAGGUGUCCAUCCCUCAAAAUGGUCCAUGGGAAACUUAAAAUUCUCCCAUAGCUAUGCAAGGAUUUCAGUGGUUUUAAGUUCACUUAAAAGGAAUGAGCUAGGGGUAACAGGAUCUGACAGCUAUAAACAGAAAUUGAAUACUGAAAAACAAAAACCCACCCAACUACAUUUUAUAUGGGAUGGGAACGGGAUCCUCAGCUUUGUCAGACUCGUGUGGCCAGAUUCCUUUCCUGCAUUUUGAUAUUUAAUAUGAAAACUUAAUUGCUGGUAAAGGAGUGAGAUUUGGGCCUAAUUUCAAACACAAGUGUCAAAUGUGGAGUCACAUAGACAAAUUUCAAUUAUGAAUAAUUGCCACGGAGCCUUCUUUGACACAGAGGACAUGAGGACAGAGCGUUCAUUCGGGCGCCUGGGAGAGAGCUGGCAGCUCCUGAAGAGGACCCGCGUGGGCACGUGCCGGGACCGGCGUAGUGGAGCUGCGGUUUUCACAGGCUGUCCCAGCUGCCUCGCCCUCCCGGCGCGCCACGUCCCCUCUGUUGCGUGCUCACUGUCCCUCAGGGCUACCUGCAGAGGACUCGACCCUAAAAUAAUCUUGAAGAGAUUUUUCUUGAAACAUUGAGGUUUGCAGAGCCCUUUAAGAAUUUGAUGAAAACCAUGGACACUCUUCCUGGAAAAAGGUACACAAAAUGCUUGCAGAGAAUUUCCGGAGAGUUAAGAAUCUCUGACUUAGCUGUAGUGGACUUUUUAAUCUCACACUGAUCAAUUAUGACCACAGGUGCCCCGUGAGCGCAAGUAAAGUGAAGCCCACAAACAGAAAUAUAUUUAUAAACCUGGGUAGAUUUUCUAUAAUUCCCUCAUCUGAGUCAGUUAGUGUCAUGCCCUGCUUUAAGGAUGGGGAGAAAAUCGUUCAUUCUGGCUGAAGUUAUCUUCAUGCCAAGAGGCACGGGAACAUUCCCCUCGGGUUGGGGGAUGUGAAACCCUGACAAUGUAAAGCCGAUUAUUGCUUACCAAGCCUUUAGGACUAAUGCUGAGCAUUGAGUGAAGAAAGGCUUCCCUGGCAUGGGGCAGGGUUUAUCCUGAGAAUUAACAGCACCUUCCUCACUUUGAUUUGCCCCAGAGCCCCUUCUUAAGGGCAGAAAAGGUCUCCAGAAUAGCAACCCGCUUUUGGCUGAAAGAGAAGGAGGUAGAGAUUCUUCUGCCUUUCGCAUCUGGGAAAACUGGAGUGAAGACCUUCUAACCAACUCAGUGGCUUAAAGAAAAAGUUUGGGUAACAACUGCCAUUUAAAUUUCCCUCUGGGGUUAUUGUAAUCGAUGAAAACAGGUGAAUUAUUUUAAAGAGUUAAAACACUCUGAAGUUACAAGGUAAAAAAAGUACCUUUCCCUCCACAUCACUUCUAACAAUUUGCUAAACUGAAAGAUUCCCUUUGGCUGGUCCCUUUCUGCAGAGCUGCCUGUGAACCGCUGCACCCCAGGGAUGGCGGAUCCCCAGAAGCAGCGCCGCCGCUGAAAGGCUGAGCUUCCCUGCUGUCCCUGGAGACUUGUGUUUUGUGGAGGAGAGAGGGGACUGAGACUGCUGUUGAGUCCGUGGUGUCUCCCAAGGCGCAGGUCAGGAGUGGUUAGUGAGGAACUGGUUCAAAAACUUCCAAUCACUGUCUUUGUUGAGGAAAGCAGAUGGCUCUGCCUGAAGCAAGUGUCAAACAUUAUUCGUUCGCUUUGGAGGAGCUGGGACUAGAAUAAUCCGGGUGAAAGCACCUUUCCUUUUGUGCCCACCUUCCACACCAGGCUGCCCUUGGGGCGGCCUGCAGCACCACGGGGCACACACUGGGUACCUGCCACAUUUGUACAAAGGAGUAGGUUUCUAGGUCUCAGAAUUCAAACCCAUUGAUCCUUCCUAAUGGUUUAAAAUAAUUUUUGUUCUCUGGAAGGUCACACAUACUCUUUAGCUGCUUUGUAAUAUAAUCCAGCACAACAAAAGUAUGGCUAUUUCUUUGUUUUAUUGAGAAACAUCCGAGUUGUACAUAUGACAAACAGCUUCAGGUGUAUCUGCACCAACACCCCAGUGGCCAAACAGUUAACACCUGAAGCCAUCACUUUAAAUGUGAAAAGUCUUAUAAAAUUAACUUACAAAAAUGUCCCUAAAAGUAUGUAGUUUGGCAUUUACUGUACAUUAGUCAAAAGCUCAAGCUAAAAUCUGAUAUUCUUUAAAAAAAAAUCAAAGUUUACAUUCAUACAGAUUUAG
Phyllostomus discolor (pale spear-nosed bat) is the source of this 2386-nucleotide long non-coding RNA. RefSeq lists it as uncharacterized. The record is from RefSeq and is a predicted model, not a curated record. The transcript has 2 exons. Lineage: Eukaryota; Metazoa; Chordata; Mammalia; Chiroptera; Phyllostomidae.